UAUGGCCACAUCACGUAGAAACACCGAUUCCCCUUAACAUCACCGACGUUAAGCAACGUCGAGCCUGGUCAGUACCUAGAUGGGUGACCGCUUGGAUGUCCGUGUGGUGCAA
This is a non-coding RNA of Acanthosepion pharaonis, 112 nucleotides long. The record is from the annotation of a GenBank genome assembly. Lineage: Eukaryota; Metazoa; Mollusca; Cephalopoda; Sepiida; Sepiidae.